CGUGUAGGCGGUUUGGUAAGUCAGAUGUGAAAGCUCCGGGCUUAACCCGGAAAGUGCGUUUGAAACCGCCAGACUUGAGUGCGGGAGAGGAAGGUGGAAUUCCCAGUGUAGAGGUGAAAUUCGUAGAUAUUGGGAGGAACACCGGUGGCGAAGGCGACCUUCUGGACCGUCACUGACGCUGAGACGCGAAAGCGUGGGGAGCGAACAGGAUUAGAUACCCUGGUAGUCC
Molecule: ribosomal RNA, 229 nt
Filed under: uncultured bacterium
Lineage: Bacteria
Description: partial 16S ribosomal RNA
Rfam family: Bacterial small subunit ribosomal RNA
Source: RNAcentral